This 576-nucleotide long non-coding RNA is filed under the name Androctonus crassicauda. Lineage: Eukaryota; Metazoa; Arthropoda; Arachnida; Scorpiones; Buthidae. The record is from RNAcentral.
GGGCAAUCUGCCAAAACCAAUACACAUUCUGAGUGUUUUGAAAUGAUCACAGACCAUUCUGAAACAGAUCAGAGCAUAUGUUUGAAGUAAUAUGCUUCAUGUAAGGCAGUUUGAUGGCUGUGUAGUAACAUGUUGGCAUGCCACACAGGAGGUUCACAUCCUGGGUCUGGCAUCUCAUGAAAAGUUUUUUGGGGCCCAGGCAAUUCCUGUCCUUCACCAUCUGGUCCCCCUUCACAGAUGUGGGUAGAGCUCAUUGUUGGAACUGGCCCUGUCCCUUAGCGGUCUCAUUGAUUGGAAAGGGGCAUAAAACAACAAAAAAAAAAAGUAUUCAUGCUCUGUAUUACUAGCAGUAAUAGAAUUCCACUACUCGUAAUGGAAUUUUGAUCAUUUAGUAUUGUGUUUGCAAUGCCAACUAAUUCACGAAAAAGGAGCAAAGAAAAGGAACAACAUUUCAGAUAUUUGGACAAAGGACUUCAUUUAUAUGUGCUUUUACAAUAUUUUUAUUUUUCAAAUUGUGAAAUCUUUCCAAAAGUAAAAUUUUUCUUAAAAAGUUUAAGAGAGUUCACUAAUAACUAG